RNAcentral lists this non-coding RNA (28 nucleotides) under Mus musculus (house mouse). The record is from RNAcentral. Lineage: Eukaryota; Metazoa; Chordata; Mammalia; Rodentia; Muridae.
UAUGACUAACACAGCUUGCUUAGUUCUA